This 463-nucleotide ribosomal RNA is filed under the name uncultured bacterium. RNAcentral describes it as "partial 16S ribosomal RNA". It matches the Rfam family "Bacterial small subunit ribosomal RNA", at positions 28 to 507 of the family's 1533-position model. The record is from RNAcentral.
GAUGAACGCUGACAGAAUGCUUAACACAUGCAAGUCUUUGGCGAAGCUGUGCUUGCACCGCCUAGCCAAGGCGGACGGGUGAGUAACGCGUAAGGAACUUGCCCUGCAGUCAGGGAUAACAGACGGAAACGACUGAUAAGACCUGGUAAAGUCAGGCGGACUCAUGUCCAGCCUGAUGAAAAGAGAUGCUGCAGGAGAGCCUUGCGUCCUAUUAGCUUGUUGGUGGGGUAACGGCCCACCAAGGCGAUGAGAGGGAGCCGGCCUGAGAGGGUGGACGGCCACAAGGGGACUGAGAUACGGCCCUUACUCCUACGGGAGGCAGCAGGGGGGAAUAUUGGACAAUGGGGGCAACCCUGAUCCAGCAAUUCUGUGUGCACGAUGAAGGUUUUCGGAUUGUAAAGUGCUUUCAGCAGGGAAGAAAAAAAUGACGGUACCUGCAGAAGAAGCGACGGCUAAAUACGUG